AGAGUUUGAUCCUGGCUCAGAAUCAACGCUGGCGGCGCGCUUAACACAUGCAAGUCGAACGAGAAAGUGGAGCGAUCCAUGAGUACAGUGGCGUACGGGUGAGUAACACGUGGGUAAUCUACCUCCUAGUGUGGAAUAACCCUGGGAAACCGGGGCUAAUACCGCAUAAGCUCGAGAGAGGAAAGCAGCAAUGCGCUGGGAGAGGAGCCCGCGGCCGAUUAGCUAGUUGGCAGGGUAAAAGCCUACCAAGGCAUAGAUCGGUAGCCGGCCUGAGAGGGCACACGGCCACACUGGCACUGAAACACGGGCCAGACUCCUACGGGAGGCAGCAGUGGGGAAUCUUGCACAAUGGGGGCAACCCUGAUGCAGCGACGCCGCGUGAGCGAUGAAGCCCUUCGGGGUGUAAAGCUCUUUCGGCAGGGAAGAUUAUGACGGUACCUGCAGAAGCAGCUGCGGCUAACUACGUGCCAGCAGCCGCGGUAAUACGUAGGCAGCGAGCGUUGUUCGGAGUUACUGGGCGUAAAGGGUGUGUAGGCGGUUGUCUAAGUUUGGUGUGAAAUCUCCCGGCUCAACUGGGAGGGUGCGCCGAAUACUGAAUGACUAGAGUGCGGGAGAGGAAAGUGGAAUUCCUGGUGUAGCGGUGAAAUGCGUAGAUAUCAGGAGGAACACCGGUGGUGUAGACGGCUUUCUGGACCGUAACUGACGCUGAAACACGAAAGCGUGGGUAGCAAACAGGAUUAGAUACCCUCGUAGUCC
Molecule: ribosomal RNA, 756 nt
Filed under: uncultured bacterium
Lineage: Bacteria
Description: bacterial SSU rRNA
Rfam family: Bacterial small subunit ribosomal RNA
Source: RNAcentral